This 3017-nucleotide unclassified non-coding RNA is filed under the name Hevea brasiliensis (rubber tree). The record is from RNAcentral. Lineage: Eukaryota; Viridiplantae; Streptophyta; Magnoliopsida; Malpighiales; Euphorbiaceae.
AGUCUUUCUUUUUUUUUUUUUUUUUGUUCUUUGUUUGUUUGGUUGUAUUUCUUCGAUUUUUGAAGCGUCUUUUCCGAUAGGAACUGUUUUGGAUCGAUUGGAUGUCUGAUUUGUUGCGAAAUCGUUUUAGAUCUGUGAAUCCUCUUUUCUUUCGGUUUUGAAUUUUCUUUUUAUUUUUAUGUGUAAUUUAUCUAUAGAUUCUUUGGACUAAUCGAUGCAACAUUGGGUUUUCGCUUCUGGUUUAGAAUUUCUAGGGAUUUGGGUUUGUGUUUAUAGUUUUAUUAUUUGUGGGAUUUGGUUGAAGCUAAAGCUGUCAUCUGCUUGGCUUAGAUUUGUUGAAAGUCAAUCAUCUAUUUGAUGUAAAUUGUCUUACCCAUUCACUGGAUGGGAAAGUUUUUAUGUACAAAUUCUAUAUCCAUUCAAUAUGUGGGGAUUUUUAUGGGACUCAUCAGUUAAACGCAUGCUUUUGAAAUUGGUUAUAAAUGUGAAUAUUGCUUGCUAUAUGAUUAUCACAAAUGAAAUGCAUACUCGUGCCUUUAUCUUUUAUCUUUAAGAUCUCUCAUCUAAAAGUAGGUGCAUGUUUUAAAUUUGGCAAUGUUAAUUUACUUGUUAAUGCUUUCAUUAUAAAGCAAAAACUAAUGCUCUGUAUGAUCAUUUCUAGGGAUUUCUUUGGUUAUUAUUAUUAUGCAAGCAAAAAGGCAAUUACUGUUUAAGGAAAAAAAUCUGAAAUGCUAGUCUUUUUGUUGUCUUAAUUGCCCUGAAAAAUUCAUAUAACAAAUAUACCUUUUUAUUGUUCGAUUUAUUUUUGUUAUCAAAAUCACAAUCUAUAUAAUGUUUAGGAGAAAAAGAUAGUUGAAGCAAAUGAAACCUGUUGUUCUUAGUUGCAUAUCUGUUUUCUGAACAUCACCACUUUUACUACACUUCCAAUCUCACCAUUGCCGCCCCCAGCAGCAUGUAUAAUACCAGUUUAUUUGUCCAUUGCUUUAUUGGUUAGGUUAUAAUUGUUUGGCAUAGAGUCUCUAAUGUAGUGUAUAAAAUUGCUCAAUCAGUUUCAUCAAUUGCCUCUCAUUAAUAUCAGUUCUUUUGUUCAUUGCUUGUUUGAUGUGUGACGAAUGAGCUGUUGUUACUCUUUUCUCAUUCUAAUGUUCUCUGUUUUACAUGCAUCACAUACAAAAUGUAACAUGGGUUGGAUGGUUCGUAUCUUACCUAUAUCUCUCUUUGGCAAACAAUUCCAAGGAUAAAAUUGUUUGAAACAAGAACUUCAAGGAAAAAAGAUGUUUGGAAUUGCAUUAUGGGCAAUUAAAUAAACAUAACAAGGAGAAUACCCUUACAUAGAGCACCCAUUCAAAACGUCCAAUUUACUGCAAGCCCCAUUUCCCUCUUCAUUCUUUCAAAGCAAGGAGAUUGGAGAAUAUUUGGGAAAAAAGUUCUUUUAAGUAAUGUAAGAGGGAGUAUAAAUAUCGUUUAGCAAAGUGGUGUGGCAAUAAGCAACCUUUGGGUGUGGAAUACUAUGCGUCAAGUCCCUUUUUAAAACAUUUUUCUUAAUAAGUUCUAUUGGCAAGUGUUUUUAUUUAUAGAGAUUCAUAUUUGAAAGAGACCACCUUUGGCAAUCUGUCAUAGUCAUAAACAUUGAGCAAAUCAUUAUGGAUGGACUACGAAAGGUAGACAGGGAAUAGUGCAAAGCAAGGUAUGGAAAUUUUACUGUGGUAGAGAAAAUUAUGGUUACAUGUUCUUAAUGUAAGCAACAACCAUUAUAUUCCUUUUGGCAUGAUACUUGGUGUGGCAUGUGCCCCCUAAUAAGUCAACUUCUUGGCCUCUUCUUGCUGGCUUCAGGGAUGCCAGUGUAAAUUCUUUUAGAUAACCAUCAUCUAGAGGGGUGAUUUAGUAAAUGUAUUUGGUGCAGAAUGCCCAAGAGUAGGAGUUAGAUCCCUCUUCAAACUUCUUCAACUGUUAUGCAUAUUAUUGGAUCUGUGAAGGUAGGACUAGGUAUUCGUACUAGGUGGAUUAGUCUAUAGGGAUUCAGGCAUUGUUGAUAAAAGCUAUUGUAAUUAUCUAAAAGUCAUAGAAGGCAAAAGGAUUAAUCUUCCAUGAAGGCACUUUGAUAGACUUGCUUAGAAAGGUUGCUUUCUAGCUCAGAAGGCUACCCAUAGAGGAUUUAACCCAUUGAAAAUCUACAAAACAGAAAAAAAAUCAUGGAAAAUAAAUGUACUACUGCAAAAGGUUAACAGAAGCCAUGCAUCACUUGUUGUUGGGUUGUAUUUGGAUUUUGAUGACAUAACUAUGGAAGCUUGUCUAUUUGGUCAUGAUGAUUUUUGGCUAGCGACAAGAUCAACUACAUAUGUGCAGUUAACUAUUUUUAAGGGGUACAAAAAAAUAUCGACUACUUAAGCGGUAGUCCUUGCAAUUCUUAACAGGUAGUGAUCUUUCCAUCUAGCUUACUUGGUCUCAUUUUUCUUGAUAAUAUGAUUCCUAGCAUUUCUGUUCUUCAAACUUGAAUCUCGAUUGGAGACAGAUGUAAGACCUGCUUUUGCAUCAUCCCUGUGUUGGACAAGAGAUGGGCAUCUUCACUUUAUAGAAACCAACUUAACCUUCACUAGAUUGACCUCUAGAAACUGUUCCAAAGAAAAGAGAAUGCAUUUCAAAUAUAGAGUUCGUUGCACUUAACAUAAAAUGAUUCCGUAGACAAGGAAGGGAAUAUUUGAUAUGGUUAGCUCUCAUCAUUUAUUCCUACCUCCACCGAUCCACUGAAGCACACGUACUUCAUAGACUUUGACAAUAUUCUGCUAAUGAUUUGACAAGAUACACUUAAGCCACAAGUUUUUAACAUUGAUGGGCCCAUUCCAUUUUGGGAAUUAAGUAACAAUUGUUAUUCAGACUAGGCUCAAAUUAUUGUUGGAUAUUUGUCUCUUGAAAAAUGAAAUUAAUUUGAAGUCUAUAAAAUAUCAUGACGGAAAUGGUUUACAUGUAUUAUAAUUAUGAAUUGUUGUUGGCUCAGGUUUGUUUGCUCUACAAACAUG